CUUUUUGCUCUUGGAGCCGUGGGUCUCGAUUUAUGAGUGCAAGGCUCCCAGGCCAAAUGACGUAAUCAUUGAAAGGGUGUAUUAAAAUUUUGGAUAAAAAUUUAUCCGAAGGGUUGUCUAAUAUGGGAAAUAAUUCUAAACAGCAUGCUAUUGAGAUGAGGUUUUCUGAGGGAUCCCUGAAUUCUUAGGGUUUUUGCACCAGGACAACAAAUUUAUGGUGAUUUGUGCGGCUGACAGGGAGACGGAGUGAUGGGGUUGGGCAUUGGGUUUAUAAUUAUUGUAGAAUAUGUAUAAUUAUUGUUUAUAAUUAUUGCAUGUUUUUGCAGGAAUAUACCCGGGAAUGCAAGAAUGAUUUGGCUGUUCAGAUAUCAAACUACAAUCAUCAAAUAAUGCAAUGUCAGCAUUUUAUUGUUCUCAAUGUGAAAAAUAUUAAUAGAAAUAAAAUAUACACAGGCUAGUAUCCUGAUAGAUAGAACAUUGUAUUAUUAUAAGGUGUCGCAUACACUGGUACUGAUGCUACUUUGAGUGUGUUCACACCGGGCAAGCAGAAGAGUUUGCUUGACAGCGGUGGGAAUAGAACCCGCGACCUUUGGUUUGCUAGUCCAAUGCUCUACCAACUGGGUCAUACAUGCAUGGGGUCAAGUCGGUAAGAAAACCAAAAGUCGUGGGUUCGAUUCCCACUGCGAUCAAGCAAGAGGAGCAUCAUAAACAAACAGUGAUCUACAUAUUUAUCUAUAUCCCACUAACAAUGAAUAAAAUCA
Molecule: non-coding RNA, 761 nt
Organism: Paramuricea clavata
Lineage: Eukaryota; Metazoa; Cnidaria; Anthozoa; Malacalcyonacea; Plexauridae
Source: the annotation of a GenBank genome assembly